Phragmites australis (common reed) is the source of this 5449-nucleotide long non-coding RNA. RefSeq lists it as uncharacterized. Lineage: Eukaryota; Viridiplantae; Streptophyta; Magnoliopsida; Poales; Poaceae. The transcript has 6 exons. The record is from RefSeq and is a predicted model, not a curated record.
UGGUAUAAGAUAUUAUAUUCAGGUUUCAGACACAAGCUCAUACCUUGAGUAAUAGUGAAGUGUUUUCUCUUUGAAGUUUUCUUUUGAAUAUCCUGUCAUGUUUUUUCAUCCCAAUAUAGCUCAUGCUGGAGGAUUUUCUUGUUGUAGUUAAAAUCUAAUAGAGUGCCCAGAAAACUAAUUCUGGCUAUUUAUUUCUUCCAUUAGUUGGAAGUAAAGUUAACUGAGCUUAUUAUUCGUUUCCUUAGUUUAUAAUUUUGCAUAUGCAUGGAUUCAUAUAUUCAAUUAUUUGAAUUGAUGUAUUUUGUGCGAUUUCGGAUGUAUGUAGAUGGCUAGAUUUGUGAGGUUGAACCAUAGAGGUACUGUUCAGAGGGCUAAUAAUGAUAGUGUUGUAUUUGUGAACAUGCUAGAGGAGACAUUGCUUUUUGGUGAAACUCCACCUUUGUCUAGUUUGUGUGCUCGAGUGAAAGAGCAGUUGUGAUGGACGGAAGAAGGGGUUGAUGUUGGGUUCGAAGGAAGGAUUGAUGUGGGUUCGUCGAAUGGAUCAUGUAUCAAGAUGAUAGUCCCAAUAAGUAGUGAGAGUGAAUGGGAUGCUUACAAUAAAAUCGUGAUUGACUCCGAAGUAAGAAUUUUGGACCUGGUGGUCACAAAGUUGACGAGGGAUCCUUCACACCAAAGCGAAGUUGAUGUAGCUCUACCAUUGCAAGCUAUUGCAGACAACUGGCCUGGAGUUGUUCUAGAUGAUGGUGGUGCGCUCAAUUUGGAUACUGAGCCACUCACACAGGAGGUUCCAGAAGUUGUAGAAGUUCCUCAUGGUGACAUGAUGGAACCACCAACUAUUGAUGAUGUUGCUGAUGUGGUUCGUGAUGAUUCUGUUAGAAUUGGCAUCGCAACCGACCGGAUGGAUGUAGGUGCCUUCGGUGACAACGAGACAUACGAGAGAGAGAGAGAGAGAGAGAGAGAGAGAGAGAGAGAGAGAGAGAGAGAGAGAGAGAGAGAGCUAUUCACUCGGAUGAUGUCUGACUGGUGGUGCAAUUGUCCACUAGAGAGAUUGAAGCCUUGAGGAUGUUGGUCGCUAGUGCGAAGUAGGAUGCCAUGGUUCGAAUGAUGCAAUAUUACAGUAUACGGUCGCUAGUGCACACCUGGGCGCCAUGGUUCGAACCCUUACUUGACGAAGAUCAAUGGGAACCUUACUUUGGUCCUCAGUACGUGUCAGAUAAGGCCCUACUGUAGAAGAAGAAAGGUCCAAGAAAGAGAGUGUGAUACACGAUGGACAUGGAUUGGGCACAACCUGGUCAGUCCAAAAGGAGAAGGGUGGGGGCGCACUUCCUAGAUGAUCCUGUGACCAUCCAUUGUUCAAAGUGCCAUAAGCUAGGACAUAAUAGGAAGAAGUGCGAUCAAGCACCUGCUAAAGUGGGAGGGUUUAAAUGUAUUUUGUGUUAUCAAUAGUGUGAUUCUUACUUUACAUAAACUUUGAUUUUUUGGUUUUUUCAUUUUCUAACAUGUGCCGUAUUUUUCAAUACAGGAUGACAUGGUACUGGCUCCUGGACGAGUUCUACGAGAGGGAGCACAAAGCAUAGAGGAUAGAGGACAGGGAGGUUCUUCCCAUGCUUUGUGUCCAGGGACAUUGAUGGAGCUUCUGUCAUGCACUACAAUCGUCACUACACCCCACUCCUUUAGCAGGUGAACCUUGCCGUUGUCUCCAACAUCAUGAAGCGGGGCAUGCCACCUUUUAACCCCACUUUCCCCACCGCACUUGUGGACAGAUGGAGGUUUGAGACUCACUUCUUCCAUCUACCAUGUGGAGAGAUGAUAAUGACCCUGCAAUGAUGUUGCCAUGAUCCUGGCGUUGCCGAUCAGAGGGCAGCCUAUGACUGGGAGAUGUGUCUCUGAGGGCCGACGGUGGUGCAUGGAGGACUUCUUGGGUACCGAGCUUCCACCUCAGUUGGAAGAGAGGAAGGGUUGUGUUUCAGGGGUCUCUAUCAGCCGACUACGAGAGAGGUUCGGGAUGUGCCCUCCUGAUGCACAUGCCACUACUGCCACCUUCCACGCACAGGCAUGAGUGAAGGACAUGUUCGGUGCCGUGCUUUUUCUGGACUCCACUGGAGACUAUUGUCUACGAUUGCUGAACCGUCGAUCUUACGAACUUGUCAAAGAGGGUCCUCUGGCUCUGUAUAUAUAUAGGGGGGGUCAUCGUACAGCCUCUAGAGUCCUUUCUUACCAUUCUUGGAGAUAAGUUUUCCUAUUUACGAGACAUCCUGGGUAUCUACGAGCAAUUUUUAUGCGUUUAUGGAUUCUCUUUUCGGAGAUAAAUAUAUAUCCCGAGAAUGAUGGAAACCCCUGGGGUAUGCGGAUAAGGUAUCCAUACAUAUUAUGAUUGUCACGCCCCUCAUCAGUACAUGAAAGGAGGUUGUGACGGGUUCAAAAUUAGCCUAGCCAGGGAAUAUGUCCUGAUAGGUCAUUCCUUUGGGUAGUACUUGGGCUUCUGAGUAGGAUGCACAACUAGCCAGGAUUCUAAUCGUCUUUGAGUCAUCUUCUCAGAGGAUGAAUCUUCCCCAUAAAGGAUUAUCGGAUAAGACCAAAGGUGAUCAUCUCUCCAACAGUGGGGGUUUUGAAAUUUUAAACGUCACAACAGAGGUUUCAUGUGGUGAUUAAAGAUUCCCUCUCUUUCUUCUAGCGAAAAAGGAUGAGCUGACGUGAGUCAAAUGCACCAUGCCUGACAAAGUGGUGCACCUACUCUACUAGACUCCUCGGCGUGUGAACAUUUCAAUUAUUGUUUCUUACAGACUUUUAGGGACAAAGAACUUGUGUAUAUUUGGUUAAGUAAUCAAUGUGUUCUUAUUUAUCAUGCCUAUGUGUAAGCGAACAUGAUGGGGCUUAUCGCGAGCGUGGUACCGAGUAGAUCUCGAUAACUCACUGCGCAUAGCACAACCCAUUCCUCUCUUCGGCUAGGGUAGUCAUCUUUGUUGCUUCCUAGGGAGCUUAGUCAGUCGGCCUUAGGUCCUUGAACGAGGGAUGUCUUAGCCCCCAUGCACUCACAGACACGAUAAGGGACCUUUUCACAUCCCGUUAGGUCGUCAACUCUGGAAACCACUAUUCACAUGAAGGAAAUUGCUUUGGUGCAUACACGAUAAGUUACCAUUAGCAUUCAGUACCUUGUACCCAUGUACCUCAACCGUCUGUCCAUGAAGAGGUUCCGGAUAGGUAGUCAGAGAGAUAUAUAAAAGAACUUCCAAUGAGAAGCAUGAAAAGAUUGUAUGGCAUAGAGAAUAAUGUGCAAACAUGAACAUUGUUUAUAUGAAUGUACUUUCAGUACUUACACAUAAAACUUUCAAAGUUGGUCGAUGUAUCCCCAUAGACGGUGCCAACUGUCGAUGGUUGGAGAAUCGUCGAUCUUACGAACUUAUAGAUGAAUCAAAGAACACACAUAUGGGUUUUUAUACAGGUUCAGGUCCGCUUUAGGAUAAUAGUCCUACAUCUUGUUUAUCUUGUAUUGAUCUCUAAGAGUAUUACAAUGGGGUGCGUGGCUAGCCUAGAGGGAUCUACAUCUAGUUGGAUGGCUCCCUUGUAUGUAGUCGAGGAAGAUGCUAAUACAGAUCUAACUGUGAAAGGCUUAGUGGAUGUAGAGCUUCCGCAUGCUUCGAUGGCUUGUAUGAACUUGUUGUCUCUUGUCCUCUGCAGGGUCCCUUGGCUCCGUAUAUGUAGGGGGCUCAUCGUAUGGCCUUUGGAGUCCUUUCUUUUUGUUCUUAGAGAUAAACUUCCCUGUUUAUGAGAUAUCCUAGGUAUCUGCAAAUGGUUUUCAUGCGUCCAGGGAUUCUCUUUCCGGAGAUAAAAAUAUGCCCCGAGAAUGAUGGAAAACCUUAGGGUAUCCAGAUAAGGUAUCCAUACAUACUAUCAUCGUCAACUGUGCUUCUUGGAUGUACCUCCCCUCCCUCCUUGACUAGGAUGACACAUGCUAGUAUAAUUAGGGGUCGACUAUGCUUGUUUUCUUGUACUGACAUCUCUGCAAAGCCUACUGGCGCUGAUCCCCAUCCUCCUCACUUGGUAGUUGUGCGUACCCACUCUAGAUAUAGAUUUGGGAUAGGAUGUCAGUAGGGAGGCCAAGGCUACUCUUGCCACACCAUUGGACUCCCAUGAAUGUUGUUGAGUUGUGCCCCUUCGUUGUCUACUUGUAGGACCAGGUUUCAGCCCCCUGUGUACUUACCAAUAGGGCAUAUGUUGAUUAUAGCAAUGAGUUGGACACCCUGCACCUGAGUUUGGUUCAGUGAGAGCUGUACACUUGGAUGGAGGUGGAGGCUUUGGAGGACAGCUUGGGCCUGAAUCCUUUGUGCCAGCGAGACGGGGAUCUUUGGGCCAUGAGGUGCCCACUGAUUUGCUUCUACGCUGUAGAGAUGCACCUACCACAUAGGGUGAUGAGAUAAUUCAAUAGGCAACAAUCUUACCCACCCUACGAGGUGUCUAAGUCCAUCGAUUUUCACAAUUUUGAUCAGGUGAGAUAGCGGUCCGUGACGGACUUCGCGUACCACCACCGUGCCCACAUCGCUGAGUGGUGAAGGUUUGAGCAGAAUUACAAGGGGAAUUUCAACAUGCAUCUUGAUUCCACGUUUUGUUAGUACCUUUCUUGGUACCAAUUUUCCACCUGCUACAAGUUGAGGCAAAGAUUGGUGGAUGAGAACUACAUCAACAUUGAGUUGUCAGACAAUGACAACACCCCUUACGACAAUCGCACUCAACAUGGGACACUUGUCGAGAUUGCUCCCAUCCUAGACUGAGUGGGUAUGGAUGUGAGGUGGUGUAUCAACAAUAUUGGCAAUGCCUUAAGGAUCCUAGUUGGUAGCCCUGACAUAGAGAACAAUUUGCGAGGAACAUUGGAGGUAGGAAUGUUGAUAUGGAAACAUUCUUUUCGUUCAAAUACACCUCUUGUUAUUAUUCAUUACAAGUUACGAUUUGUGCAUCCAACGAUGCAUUCGUAAAGUGGUAGCUCAGUGUGGUUAUCGCACGCUGGCCUUGGCAGAUUUUGUCCCUCGUGCUCACUCUGCGGCCACCUCAGAGCUUUAGUCAUGAGCGUCUAGUGGCUCCGUCACACGGUCUCAUACCACCACAAGGUCUGCGGGCUCAAGCUCCUCACACAAGGUCCUCUUGGAUGACGAGGAGGGUGCCAACGCCGAGGACAAGAAAGAGAACACCCACAAUGAGAUAGGUAUUCCUCAAGUGGUAGACGCACCACUGCCUAUGUAGGCGUCCAAACGUCCUUAUCAGUAGGUUUAGUGGUACACCCCAAGUAUAGUGCUCUUGGUCAAGGGAAGAGAAAGGCAAAGAGUUUGACGUAGUGACUGCUUCAUUGUAAUAUAUGGAUGUGAAGCAUAUUUGGAUGCUAUGUAGGACUCAUAAUGUUUGAUGCUAUGUAAUAUAUUUUGAAUGAAUGUGUGUGUGAACGUUGGAUGCUAUGUAA